Long non-coding RNA from Paramisgurnus dabryanus, 374 nucleotides. RefSeq lists it as uncharacterized. The record is from RefSeq and is a predicted model, not a curated record. Lineage: Eukaryota; Metazoa; Chordata; Actinopteri; Cypriniformes; Cobitidae.
AUCUUAAGCCACUUGCUUACCAAGUCAAUGUAUCUCAAUUUGAGAAUUUUUAGAUAUUUAUAUUAGAAAACAAGACAAAAAAACCUAGGUAAGUCAAUAAUUUUUUGCAGUGUGAGGGAGAAGAACCAAGCCCUGAGGGAACGUAGUCAACGAGCAGCUUCGGAUGACAGCGGCUCACUUUUCGCGUUGCUUGACAACACUUUGAGGCAGGAUAAAAAGCUCCAGGAACAAUUUCUUUAGAGUAUCUUCUCUAAUCACCUUUCCAUUAAUACAACCUGGACUGGUGUAGGGAAUCAAGCAUGUUUUAGAGACCUGUUUCUGAAGACCAUUGUUCAAAGAGCCAUCCGGAAGAACCCUGCAACCCAGAAUGCCAC